This 2765-nucleotide unclassified non-coding RNA is filed under the name Daphnia pulicaria. Its description in RNAcentral is "allatostatin-A receptor-like, transcript variant X2". Lineage: Eukaryota; Metazoa; Arthropoda; Branchiopoda; Diplostraca; Daphniidae. The record is from RNAcentral.
AUGUUGAGACGCGAGCAAUCAGCCCAAGUUCAGUUGAUUUGGAACUGACGAAAGAACACAAUUUUACAGUAAUAGAUUUCAGGAUUCCGAACCUUCUGUGCGAAACAACAACGCUUUCCCUGGGGACUGAAUAUUUACCAUCCGAAUUUGGAAACAACUUCUUGUCGGCCAAAGGACGUUAAAUAUUAAUGUGCCAGUCAUGGAUAUGAUGGAAGACCUAAUGUCCGAAGCUGGCAUGGAUGGAAGCGGAAUAAUAUCCAGUUAUCCAAACAUGUCUAAUUCUCUGGACAAUAGAUAUGGAUUGUGUAAUAUUUCACGCCAUGCUGGUUUGCCCUUUUGCUUAAACAGAAGCUCAGGGGUGGAUGAAUUCAGACCAGACUACUCUCAUGGUUUUGCAAUGCAACGCAUCAUUUCUAUAGUGGUACCAAUCAUAUUUGGCAUCAUUGUUGUAGUUGGGUUCAUUGGCAACGCCCUUGUUGUUGUAGUUGUGGCGGCCAAUCAACAGAUGCGUAACACAACCAACUUGCUCAUCAUCAAUCUAGCGCUGGCAGAUCUUUUAUUUAUCGUAUUUUGCGUUCCGUUCACCGCAUCUGAUUACGCUUUACCUUUUUGGCCAUUCGGUGACGCCUGGUGUAAAAUUGUCCAGUACUUGGUCAUCGUCACAGCAUACGCCAGUGUAUAUACUUUAGUCCUUAUGUCGCUGGAUCGCUACUUAGCCGUGGUCCAUCCCAUCACUUCAAUGUCUAUUCGAACGGAGGCGAACACAUAUUGGGCCAUCGCCGUUACCUGGGUUGUUAUAUUUGUGGCCUGUGUUCCAUUACUGAUGGCUCACGGGGAAGUUAUGUAUCUCUUCGCCGAAGAAGAAUAUUCUGUGUGCGUCUUUCUCCAAAAGGAGGGUUGGAGCUAUCACGUCUUUCAAAUCACUUUUUUUGCGACUUCUUACGUUAUCCCACUUUUGCUUAUUUGUGGAUUGUACAUAUGUAUGCUUAUGCGCUUGUGGAGGGGGGUGGCUCCAGGUGGGCGAGUUUCGGCCGAGAGCCGGCGUGGUAAGAAGCGCGUUACUCGCAUGGUUUGCAUAGUAGUCGUCAUAUUCGCCGUGUGUUGGUGCCCCAUUCAACUCGUUCUCGUUUUAAAAAGUUUAGCCUUGUUUGAAAUCACACCCUUGACGGUAAUGAUACAAAUCAUUUCCCACGUUUUAGCGUACAUGAACUCCUGCGUGAAUCCUUUUCUGUAUGCCCUGAUAUCCGAUAACUUUCGGAAAGCGUUUCGCAAAGUCGUUUACUGCCGGUCUUUGGGAUUUGCGCUUCCCAGUUGCGAGCAGCGCCAUCAGCCCAACAAUGGCGAGAAAUCCGACAUUCGACAGCCUCUCUUUACUGGAAACACAGGCAACACGGGAAACACUGGGUUUACCGGAAACACUAACAUGAUGAAGUCUACCGUAGUGCACGCUUCGAAUAACGCUGACGCCGAAGCCAUUGACGUUCUGUGAACAACAACAACAUUUCAACAACCGAGUGAUUUCUAUUUCAACCUGGAAAUUGACAAAAAAAAAAUAUAAAUAUAAAAAAAAAAAAACGACAAAAAAAAUGAUACACCGCUGGGAUAAAUAAAUGCUGCAACGUAUAAAGUGCCAACCGAAGCGAAUGCCCAUGAGGAACAGUACCGGUACCAGUGAAAAAAAAACAAAAAAAAAAACAUGUCAUAGGCUUUUAAAUAUUUUACAUUUUCGCAACCACAUUCCACAUAACACUACUUACCCCAUCCCGAAGGUUUGUCAGAUUUUGUUUUUAUUGUUAAAAAAUUGUAAAUGACGUUUAUCUGAUAAUUAUGCUUUCGUUGAAUUCAUGAAAAUGUGUCGUACCGUUAAAAAUUCUUUUUCGAGUCUUGUAAUCAUUCGCUCCGAAGAAAUUUUGAUCUGAGACAAAUGACAUAUUUGUGGCAGAUUAACAAGAAUAUUCCAGUUAGUCGUUUUUUUUGUUUUGUUUCUGACUUUGAUUUUAUGCCAAUAUGCUGCUGCUGCUUUAUAGGAAAAAGUUGAAGUUCCAUGAUAAUUCUUCACAUUUACUGAUUAGUGAUUUAUCCGAGGAUUUAUCUAUUAUUUGUAAAUAAAAUGCUUGAAUUUUAAUUAAAUUAUUGCUGCUCGUGUUUAAGAUAUAAAUGAAAUCGCGAAGGAAAGCUAGUUUGCGCCAAUCAAACAGUUCCGUUCACGCAUCUCAUGAUUUAUUUAUUUCUUAUGUUGCAUAUUGAUUGCUGUUUCGUGAAUUUAAUCCCAUCAUAUGUUCAAUUGUGAAUUCAGUUACUCUUCAAUUUUUCAAUACCGUAUAGGAUUAAAACUGUGUCAGAGCUAUGGGAACUUAUUAGUCUCCAAACGAUUUCCAUAGCUCUGACUGUAUAUUAAUGUAAAUUGAAUGUAAUUACUACCAUUUUUCAACCCCCAGUUGCACUACAUUGACAAUGUUACUUCGGGGAAAAUAUGAAAUUCAGAAAAAAUAUAGCAUUUUGAUCUUAAAGCGCCAAAACGAAAGAUUUUUAAAAUUUGAGAUAAAAUCAACACUGAAAGUGUUUUAAUUUUCAAUUAAAUCUCAUAUAAUUCACGUGUGUAACAUUCCAACAACUGCUGCAUGUUAGGGUGUUGCUCAGUUUGCAACUUUAACUAUGAUUCCUAGACGACAAUAUAAAUCCACAUUAAACCAACAAAACAAAUUGAAAAUGAAACAGUUUUGUGUCAUGUUACCCUCCAUAUUUAAUUAAUACAUAGUAAUGAC